UGGGGAAUAUUGCACAAUGGGGGAAACCCUGAUGCAGCGACGCCGCGUGAACGAAGAAGGUAUUCGUAUCGUAAAGUUCUGUCCUAUGGGAAGAUAAUGACAGUACCAUAGAAGAAAGCUCCGGCUAAAUACGUGCCAGCAGCCGCGGUAAUACGUAUGGAGCGAGCGUUGUCCGGAAUUAUUGGGCGUAAAGGGUACGCAGGCGGUUAGAAAAGUCUGAAGUGAAAGGCAGUGGCUCAACCGUUGUAGGCUUUGGAAACUGUUUAACUUGAGUGCAGAAGGGGAGAGUGGAAGUCCAUGUGUAGCGGUGAAAUGCGUAGAUAUAUGGAGGAACACCGGUGGCGAAAGCGGCUCUCUGGUCUGUAACUGACGAUGAGGCUCGAAAGCGUGGGGAGCGAACAGG
This 403-nucleotide ribosomal RNA is filed under the name Bacteroidota bacterium. Its description in RNAcentral is "Bacteroidetes bacterium partial 16S ribosomal RNA". It matches the Rfam family "Bacterial small subunit ribosomal RNA", at positions 355 to 776 of the family's 1533-position model. Lineage: Bacteria; Pseudomonadati; Bacteroidota. The record is from RNAcentral.